CUACGUGCCAGCAGCCGCGGUAAUACGUAGGUGGCAAGCGUUGUCCGGAAUUAUUGGGCGUAAAGCGCGCGCAGGCGGAUUGGUCAGUCUGUCUUAAAAGUUCGGGGCUUAACCCCGUGAUGGGAUGGAAACUGCCAAUCUAGAGUAUCGGAGAGGAAAGUGGAAUUCCUAGUGUAGCGGUGAAAUGCGUAGAUAUUAGGAAGAACACCGGUGGCGAAGGCGACAAACUGGACGAUAACUGACGUUGAGGCACGAAAGUGUGGGGAGCAAACAGGAUUAGAUACCCUGGUAGUCCACACCGUAAACGAUGGAUACUAGGUGUUGGCAAUGAAUAAUUGUCGGUGCCGGCGCUAACGCAAUAAGUAUCCCACCUGGGGAGUACGACCGCAAGGUUGAAACUCAAAGGAAUUGACGGGGGCCCGCACAAGCAGUGGAGUAUGUGGUUUAAUUCGAAGAUACGCGAAGAACCUUACCAAGGCU
This 480-nucleotide ribosomal RNA is filed under the name uncultured bacterium. Its description in RNAcentral is "bacterial SSU rRNA". It matches the Rfam family "Bacterial small subunit ribosomal RNA", at positions 501 to 981 of the family's 1533-position model. The record is from RNAcentral.